This 554-nucleotide ribosomal RNA is filed under the name Parascutigera guttata. Its description in RNAcentral is "SSU rRNA". It matches the Rfam family "Eukaryotic small subunit ribosomal RNA", at positions 24 to 566 of the family's 1831-position model. The record is from RNAcentral. Lineage: Eukaryota; Metazoa; Arthropoda; Chilopoda; Scutigeromorpha; Scutigeridae.
UCAUAUGCUUGUCUCAAAGAUUAAGCCAUGCAUGUCUAAGUACUAGCCACUUGACGGUGAAACCGCGAAUGGCUCAUUAAAUCAGUUAUGGUUCCUUAGAUCGUACCAUCCUACUUGGAUAACUGUGGUAAUUCUAGAGCUAAUACAUGCCGAUCAGCUCUGACCUUCGGGGACGAGCGCAUUUAUUAGAACAAGACCAAUACGGGCUGGCAACAGUCCGUUCCCAUUUGGUGACUCUGAAUAACCUUGAGCCGAUCGCACGGUCUCGCACCGGCGACGCAUCUUUCAAAUGUCUGCCUUAUCAACUGUCGACGGUAGGUUAUGGGCCUACCAUGGUAGUAACGGGUAACGGGGAAUCAGGGUUCGAUUCCGGAGAGGGAGCCUGAGAAACGGCUACCACAUCCAAGGAAGGCAGCAGGCACGCAAAUUACCCACUCCCGGCACGGGGAGGUAGUGACGAAAAAUAACAAUGCGGGACUCUUCCGAGGCCCCGUAAUUGGAAUGAGUACACUUUAAAUCCUUUAACGAGGACCUAUUGGAGGGCAAGUCUGGUG